RNAcentral lists this transfer RNA (76 nucleotides) under Betaproteobacteria bacterium. Its description in RNAcentral is "tRNA-Thr". It matches the Rfam family "tRNA". From Rfam's summary of the family: Transfer RNA (tRNA) molecules are approximately 80 nucleotides in length. The record is from RNAcentral. Lineage: Bacteria; Pseudomonadati; Pseudomonadota; Betaproteobacteria.
GCCGAUAUAGCUCAGUUGGUAGAGCAACGCACUCGUAACGCGUAGGUCAACCGUUCGAUUCGGUUUAUCGGCACCA